This is a non-coding RNA of Artibeus jamaicensis (Jamaican fruit-eating bat), 387 nucleotides long. The record is from the annotation of a RefSeq genome assembly. NCBI's taxonomy places the organism in Eukaryota, Metazoa, Chordata, Mammalia, Chiroptera, Phyllostomidae.
AUGAACUGGUGUCCAGGCUUAGUGACCGUGGUUCUCUUAGUGCUUGGACGAACCCGUGGAGACUCAGUGACCCAGACGGAAGGCCAAGUGACCCUGUCCAAAGGGGAUCCCCUGACUCUGAACUGCUCCCAUGAAUCCACAGGUUACCCCACUCUCUUCUGGUAUGUUCAGUCUCCUGGAGAAGGUCCAGUGCUCCUCCUGAAAGCCACCAAAGCCGAUGUUAAGGAAAGCAACAAAGGUUUUGAAGCCACACACCACAAACAACAAAAUUCUUUUCACUUGGAGAAAACCUCAGUGGAGGAGUCUGAUUCGGCAGUGUACUACUGUGCUGUGAGUGACACAGUGACAGAAACUGCAGGGGGAGCUGAGCACAAACUCUGGCACUGA